This 253-nucleotide ribosomal RNA is filed under the name uncultured bacterium. RNAcentral describes it as "partial 16S ribosomal RNA". It matches the Rfam family "Bacterial small subunit ribosomal RNA", at positions 524 to 776 of the family's 1533-position model. The record is from RNAcentral.
UACGAAGGGUGCAAGCGUUAUCCGGAUUCACUGGGUUUAAAGGGUGCGUAGGUGGGCAGGUAAGUCAGUGGUGAAAUCUCCGGGCUUAACCCGGAAACUGCCAUUGAUACUAUCUGUCUUGAAUACCGUGGAGGUGAGCGGAAUAUGUCAUGUAGCGGUGAAAUGCUUAGAUAUGACAUAGAACACCAAUUGCGAAGGCAGCUCACUACACGAAUAUUGACACUGAGGCACGAAAGCGUGGGGAUCAAACAGG